Molecule: ribosomal RNA, 253 nt
Filed under: uncultured bacterium
Lineage: Bacteria
Description: partial 16S ribosomal RNA
Rfam family: Bacterial small subunit ribosomal RNA
Source: RNAcentral
UACAGAGGGUGCGAGCGUUGUCCGGAAUCACUGGGCGUAAAGGGCGCGUAGGCGGCCUGGUAAGCGUGCGGUGAAAGCCCGGGGCUCAACCCCGGGUCGGCCGUGCGAACUGCGAGGCUGGAGCACUGUAGAGGCAGGUGGAAUUCCGGGUGUAGCGGUGAAAUGCGCAGAUAUCAGGAAGAACACCCGUGGCGAAGGCGGCUCUCUGGGACGGUACUGACGCUGAGACGCGAAAGCGUGGGGAGCGAACAGG